Molecule: ribosomal RNA, 544 nt
Filed under: uncultured bacterium
Lineage: Bacteria
Description: bacterial SSU rRNA
Rfam family: Bacterial small subunit ribosomal RNA
Source: RNAcentral
GACGCAGCGACGCCGCGUGGGUGACGAAGGCCUUCGGGUUGUAAAGCCCUGUGGGGUAGAACGAACUGGCAUCGGGCUAAUAUCCCGGUGUCUUGACGGUACUGCCUUAGCAAGCAUCGGCUAACUCUGUGCCAGCAGCCGCGGUAAGACAGAGGAUGCGAACGUUGCUCGGAUUUACUGGGCGUAAAGCGCGUGUAGGCGGUCUCGUUAGUCGGGUGUGAAAGCCCCGGGCUCAACCCGGGAAGUGCACCCGAUACUGCGAGACUGGGGUACUGAAGAGGAGAGCGGAAUUCCCGGUGUAGAGGUGAAAUUCGUAGAUAUCGGGAGGAACACCAGUGGCGAAGGCGGCUCUCUGGGCAGAUACCGACGCUGAGACGCGAAAGCGUGGGGAGCAAACAGGAUUAGAUACCCUGGUAGUCCACGCUGUAAACGAUGACGACUGGGUGUUGCAGGUAUUGACCCCUGCGGUGCCGAAGCCAACGCGUUAAGUCGUCCGCCUGGGAAGUACGGCCGCAAGGCUAAAACUCAAAGGAAUUGACGGGGG